This 75-nucleotide transfer RNA is filed under the name Candidatus Aenigmatarchaeota archaeon. RNAcentral's name for it is "tRNA-Pro". It matches the Rfam family "tRNA". Rfam says of the family: Transfer RNA (tRNA) molecules are approximately 80 nucleotides in length. Lineage: Archaea; Nanobdellati; Candidatus Aenigmatarchaeota. The record is from RNAcentral. RNAcentral also lists the same sequence under 1 other name.
GGGCCCGUGGUGUAGCUUGGUCUAGCAUUGCAGCUUGGGGUGCUGCCGACCUGGGUUCAAAUCCCAGCGGGCCCA